GAUGAACGCUGACAGAAUGCUUAACACAUGCAAGUCAACCCGAGAGUACUUCGGUACUGAUAGGGUGGCGCACGGGUGAGUAACACGUGAAUAACCUGCCCUCAAGCCUGGGACAACUACUCGAAAGGGUAGCUAAUACCGGAUAAGCUCACAGUACAGCAUUGUACAGGGAGAAAAGCUAUAUGCACUUGAGGAGGGGUUCGCGUCCCAUUAGCUAGUUGGUGAGGUAAAGGCUCACCAAGGCGACGAUGGGUAGCCGGCCUGAGAGGGUGGACGGCCACAUUGGGACUGAGACACGGCCCAGACUCCUACGGGGGGCAGCAGUGAGGGAUUUUCGGCAAUGGGCGAAAGCCUGACCGAGCGACGCCGCGUGAGCGAAGAAGGCCUUCGGGUCGUAAAGCUCUGUCUAGGGGAAGAGUAAGGACGGUACCUCUGGAGGAAGCCACGGCUAACUACGUGCCAGCAGCCGCGGUAAGCUAGUCUACG
This 486-nucleotide ribosomal RNA is filed under the name uncultured bacterium. Its description in RNAcentral is "bacterial SSU rRNA". It matches the Rfam family "Bacterial small subunit ribosomal RNA", at positions 28 to 536 of the family's 1533-position model. The record is from RNAcentral.